GGCGAAUGCACUUCUCCAAAACAAAACACAGCAAGUUUAAUGAAUCUGGUCAGCUUAGUGCGUUCUACCUUUUUGCCUGUGUUUGGGGCACAUUCAUUCUCAUCUCUGAAAACUACAUCUCAGACCCAACUAUCUUAUGGAGGGCUUAUCCCCAUAACCUGAUGACAUUUCAAAUGAAGUUUUUCUACAUAUCACAGCUGGCUUACUGGCUUCAUGCUUUUCCUGAACUCUACUUCCAGAAAACCAAAAAAAUAUUCCUCGUCAGCUUGUCUACAUUGGUCUUUACCUCUUCCACAUUGCUGGAGCUUACCUUUUGAACUUGAAUCAUCUAGGACUUGUUCUUCUGGUGCUACAUUAUUUUGUUGAAUUUCUUUUCCACAUUUCCCGCCUGUUUUAUUUUAGCAAUGAAAAGUAUCAGAAAGGAUUUUCUCUGUGGGCAGUUCUUUUUGUUUUGGGAAGACUUCUGACUUUAAUUCUUUCAGUACUGACUGUUGGUUUUGGCCUUGCAAGAGCAGAAAAUCAGAAGCUGGAUUUCAGUACUGGAAACUUCAAUGUGUUAGCUGUUAGAAUCGCUGUUCUGGCAUCCAUUUGCGUUACUCAGGCAUUUAUGAUGUGGAAGUUCAUUAAUUUUCAGCUUCGAAGGUGGAGGGAACAUUCUGCUUUUCAGGCACCAGCUGUGAAGAAGAAACCAACAGUAACUAAAGGCAGAUCUUCUAAAAAAGGAACAGAAAAUGGUGUGAAUGGAACAUUAACUUCAAAUGUAGCAGACUCUCCCCGGAAUAAAAAAGAGAAAUCUUCAUAAUGAAUUAUAAACUAAUUGAUUAAUGUCCCCAAAGAAAUCUGCUUUCUACUAUAUCUUUCAGCAUUAGAGAUUUUUCUGUUCUUGAAAAUACAGUCUGUGCUCUUUGAUUUUUGCUAUUGUACGGUUUCAUGCAUUUUUUUAAAGGGCAUUUGAGGGGAGGAUUAUUGCUAUGAAUGAAAAAAAUAUUUUAGCUUAGACUAAGCUACCUGCCUUCAAAAUAGUUUAGGGACCACCACCAUAUUUUAUUUUGUUUUUAUUUUUGAACAUUUUUCUAAUGAUUUGGAGAGAAAACUAUUUACAAAAAUUCCACAUAUCAGUGAUACAAUUUCUUGCUGUCACCAAUUUUUUAUAAUAGCAGAGUGGCCUGUUCUAAGAAGGCCAUAUUUUUUAAGUUAUCUUUCAGGGUAACAUGGAAAUACUAUAAAGUUGGAUGUCAAACUUUAAUAUGUUUUCAGUGUUCUCUAAUUUUUUGGAAUUUUUGUAGACUUUACACCUG
Molecule: long non-coding RNA, 1298 nt
Filed under: Homo sapiens (human)
Lineage: Eukaryota; Metazoa; Chordata; Mammalia; Primates; Hominidae
Description: HSALNT0138467
Source: RNAcentral